Biomphalaria glabrata is the source of this 790-nucleotide long non-coding RNA. RefSeq lists it as uncharacterized. The record is from RefSeq and is a predicted model, not a curated record. NCBI's taxonomy places the organism in Eukaryota, Metazoa, Mollusca, Gastropoda, Planorbidae. The transcript is spliced from 3 exons.
CCGUACUUGUGUUGACAUGUGCUUGUAACUCGUCCGUAAGAAUGUGUUCACGAAAUGUGUGUUGUUGUGUAAGUCAUUCAGUGUAUUGAAGCCAUACUAAGCGGACAUGGUUUUAGACUCUGUUAUCAUUCUGUUCACAACAUAGGUAGUACACAACACAUACUUCAAUGGUCGAGAUGUUUCGUAGUGUCAAAUAGUGCAUGUAUAUGUUUUUGUUAUCGAUACUUUGUAGACAUCAUAGAUACAGUCAAACUAGUUCAAAUAACUACAUGAAAUUUUCAGAUGUUUCUUCAGUAUUAAAGAUUAUUACAUCCUAAGCCAAACCUGUCUCAGGAUAAAGGAGAAUUGCGGCAGAUGUUUGUUUUUUCAUUUCUUUUGUAUAGUGCAUCUUUCAUGCUAUAUGAUACAAUACGCAUUGUCACAGCCUCAUUAGAGACUCAUUGUGACAUGAUCUGACUUUUAGUCAAGUAAUAAAAAGCAUGCUUGUGGCACAAAGAAAAACCCAAACCAGAAUCUACGACAUUUGCAUCAUUAGAAUUGCUACAUGUAUUUAAGGCCAGUACUUCUUUACUUCAGCUAUCUGUUACACGCAUGCUCAGUGUGCUUGGUCCAAUCUCUUUAGUGGACAUGUGUGGGAGUGGGUAUCUGGGAAAAGGCUUCAUGCUGCUUUAAGAUGGUCAGCAAACACAACUCAGUUGAGUCAGGUUUUGAACACAAACCUCCAAGCUGUUUACACUACUCAAUCACAUUCCACAGAAAAAAAAUAUUCCAAUUCCAAUCUAUAGCCAAA